Molecule: ribosomal RNA, 386 nt
Filed under: uncultured bacterium
Lineage: Bacteria
Description: partial 16S ribosomal RNA
Rfam family: Bacterial small subunit ribosomal RNA
Source: RNAcentral
AUACGUAGGGGGCGAGCGUUAUCCGGAUUUAUUGGGCGUAAAGCGUGUGUAGACGGUUUGUUAAGUUUAAGAUUAAAGCCCGAGGCUUAACCUCGGUUCGUCUUAAAAACUGGCAGACUUGAGGGCAGUAGCGGCAAGUGGAAUUUCUAGUGUAGCGGUUAAAUGCGUAGAUAUUAGAAGGAAAACCAGUGGCGAAGGCGGUUUGCUGGGCUGUUACCGACGCUGAGACACGAAAGCGUGGGGAGCAAAUAGGAUUAGAUACCCCAGUAGGCCACGCCGUAAACGAUGAGUACUAAGUGUCGGGUAACCGGUGCUGAAGUUAACACAUUAAGUACUCCGCCUGAGUAGUACGGUCGCAAGGCUGAAACUCAAAUGAAUUGGCGGGG